GACGUAGGGUGCAAGCGUUGUCCGGAUUUAUUGGGCGUAAAGAGCUCGUAGGCGGCUUGUUGCGUCGACUGUGAAAACCCGCGGCUUAACCGCGGGCUUGCAGUUGAUACGGGCAGGCUAGAGUUCGGUAGGGGAGACUGGAAUUCCUGGUGUAGCGGUGAAAUGCGCAGAUAUCAGGAGGAACACCGAUUGCGAAGGCAGCUCGCUGGGACGUGACUGACGCUGAGACGCGAAAGCGUGGGGAGCAAACAGG
Molecule: ribosomal RNA, 253 nt
Filed under: uncultured bacterium
Lineage: Bacteria
Description: partial 16S ribosomal RNA
Rfam family: Bacterial small subunit ribosomal RNA
Source: RNAcentral